Molecule: long non-coding RNA, 403 nt
Organism: Alligator sinensis (Chinese alligator)
Lineage: Eukaryota; Metazoa; Chordata; Crocodylia; Alligatoridae
Exons: 3
Source: RefSeq, a predicted model, not a curated record
CUUUAGGUGCUUUCCUCUUCCAGUGGGAGCCAGACAUGUUCAGCAUCUCCUGCAAGCCAGAUCUAAAACAGCAGCAGGCAAACUCCUGUCUCCUAUCUGGCUCCAGUUAAGAGCUAAGUGAUAUUUCUGUGGAUUAAAAGCCAUAAUCUCUCUAACUGGAAUUUAUCACCAAGAAGGGGAAAAAAGCCCAUCUAUCCAAACCUCCCUUCCACAGCCCUGAGUAGCUGACAUUGUCCACCAGCGAGAGGACCUCUCCAUCCUCGGGCUUCAUGCAACAGAUAAACUAAGUGUACAGGAGAAACACAUCUCCAAACCAUUGCCAGCUCUAGGCCGCGCACUGAUACCAACACCCCAGAUGCUAUGUGCAUUUACUAAAGGAAUGACACACUCUUCUAUCAUCACC